Molecule: non-coding RNA, 290 nt
Filed under: Actinomycetota bacterium
Lineage: Bacteria; Bacillati; Actinomycetota
Description: Actinobacteria bacterium T-box sequence
Rfam family: T-box leader
About the family: Uncharged tRNA acts as the effector for transcription antitermination of genes in the T-box leader family. T-boxes are found upstream of many aminoacyl-tRNA synthetase genes and some amino acid biosynthetic genes usually in Gram-positive bacteria.
Source: RNAcentral
UUAAAAGCAAAGCGUGGAAGAAGUAGCAGAUUACAAAAUUUAACAGAGAGUCGUUUUUGGUGAGAAGCGACACAAAGAUUUUAAAGGAUCUGCGAAAUGGACCCACAAGCUUCAAACUGAAAGGACUAAAAUAGCCCGAGUAAGUUUUGACGGACUUUCCCCCGUAACAAGGAAAAGUGUAUCGGUAUAUAUUUAAUUUAUAUUUCCCGUACUCUUAAAAAGUAGGAUUUUUCAAAAUAAAUAAAAAUCCUAUUAGAGUGGCACCACGGAAUUAACCUUUCGUCUCUUGG